AGAACCACAGAGUGAAUCUAUCAUCUGAGAAAAGGAAUUGAGUGGUAGAUAGGGAUUUACUACAUUUGUGAUUAUAUAGUUGAAAUUGCCAAAGCUAACAUUGUACUAGGAUCUGGAUCACUUAUCGGGCGUAUUCUAUCUUUACCUUCUACUGCUCUAAAUGUGCCAAACAAUAGGAUGCAUCCUCUUUCUCUUAGCUCUCUGCAGGAAGAAAGACUAAGAAAUUUGAGGCACCGGCUUGAAGUGCCCUUUGAUGGUUCCAAAACAGAGCACCAAGUAUGUGGUUAAUGCAAGUUUUGUAAUUUUCAAAUCAAUAUUCUGACAUUCGCU
This is a non-coding RNA of Arachis ipaensis, 330 nucleotides long. The record is from RefSeq and is a predicted model, not a curated record. NCBI's taxonomy places the organism in Eukaryota, Viridiplantae, Streptophyta, Magnoliopsida, Fabales, Fabaceae.